GACGAACGCUGGCGGCGCGCUUAACACAUGCAAGUCGAACGGAAAGGCCUGCUUUCCCUUGUGGAUUGCGGGUACUCGAGUGGCGAACGGGUGAGUAACACGUGAGUGAUCUGCCCCCAACUUGGGUAUAAGCCUGGGAAACUGGGUCUAAUUCCCGAUAGGACUGCAGGGUGGUGCCUGUGGUGGAAAACGAUUUUCUAGUGGUUGGGGAUGAGCUCGCGGCCUAUCAGCUUGUUGGUGGGGUAAUGGCCUACCAAGGCGGCGACGGGUAGCCGGCCUGAGAGGGUGGACGGCCACAUUGGGACUGAGAUACGGCCCAGACUCCUACGGGAGGCAGCAGUGGGGAAUAUUGCACAAUGGGCGGAAGCCUGAUGCAGCGACGCCGCGUGUGGGAUGACGGCCUUCGGGUUGUAAACUCCUUUCGACCGCGAGGAAGCCACCUGGUUGGAAGGGUGGUGACGGUAGUGGUAGAAGAAGCACCGGCUAACUACGUG
RNAcentral lists this ribosomal RNA (494 nucleotides) under uncultured bacterium. RNAcentral's name for it is "partial 16S ribosomal RNA". It matches the Rfam family "Bacterial small subunit ribosomal RNA", at positions 28 to 507 of the family's 1533-position model. The record is from RNAcentral.